CGUGUAGGCGGUCUGAUUAGUCUGAUGUGAAAGCCCUGGGCUCAACCCAGGAGGUGCAUUGGAUACUGUCAGACUUGAAUACGGGAGAGGGUAGUGGAAUUCCUAGUGUAGGAGUGAAAUCCGUAGAUAUUAGGAGGAACACCGGUGGCGAAGGCGGCUACCUGGACCGAUAUUGACGCUGAGACGCGAAAGCGUGGGUAGCAAACA
Molecule: ribosomal RNA, 207 nt
Filed under: uncultured bacterium
Lineage: Bacteria
Description: partial 16S ribosomal RNA
Rfam family: Bacterial small subunit ribosomal RNA
Source: RNAcentral